AUUGAACGCUGGCGGCAGGCCUAACACAUGCAAGUCGAACGAGUGGCGGACGGGUGAGUAAUGUCUGGGAAACUGCCUGAUGGAGGGGGAUAACUACUGGAAACGGUAGCUAAUACCGCAUACCAUCAGAUGUGCCCAGAUGGGAUUAGCGUGUUGGUGGGGUAACGGCUCACCAAGGCGACGAUCCCUAGCUGGUCUGAGAGGAUGACCAGCCAAGUUGGAACUGGGACACGGUCCAGAGUCCUACGGGAGGCAGCAGUGGGGAAUAUUGCACAAUGGGCGAAAGCCUGAUGAAGGCAGGCCGCGUGUAUGAAGAAGGCCGUCGGGUUGUAAAGGACUUUCAGCGGGGAGGCGUUACCCGCAGAAGAAGCACCGGCUAACUCCGUGCCAGCAGCCGCGGUAAUGC
RNAcentral lists this ribosomal RNA (406 nucleotides) under uncultured bacterium. RNAcentral's name for it is "partial 16S ribosomal RNA". It matches the Rfam family "Bacterial small subunit ribosomal RNA", at positions 29 to 526 of the family's 1533-position model. The record is from RNAcentral.